This 578-nucleotide ribosomal RNA is filed under the name Acestrorhynchus heterolepis. Its description in RNAcentral is "partial 16S ribosomal RNA". It matches the Rfam family "Bacterial large subunit ribosomal RNA", at positions 1816 to 2597 of the family's 2925-position model. The record is from RNAcentral. Lineage: Eukaryota; Metazoa; Chordata; Actinopteri; Characiformes; Acestrorhynchidae.
CGCCUCCCGCUAAAAAAUCAAAGUAUAGGAGGUCUUACCUGCCCAGUGACGACAAGUUAAACGGCCGCGGUAUUCUGACCGUGCUAAGGUAGCGCAAUCACUUGUCUUUUAAAUGAAGACCUGUAUGAAUGGUGAAACGAGGGCUCAACUGUCUCCUUUUUCAGGUCAAUGAAAUUGAUCUGCCCGUGCAGAAGCGGACAUGACAAUACAAGACGAGAAGACCCUUUGGAGCUUCAGGCAUAAAAUUAAUUGUAUCCCAGCCUGUAUUCAAAUACAAGAAAAACAAAACAAACCUAAUUUCUAAGCCUUCGGUUGGGGCGACCGUGGGGGAAAACAAAGCCCCCAUGCGGACUAGGACACACCCAAAACCAAGAGGGACACCUCUAAGUCGCAGAACAUCUGACCAAACAGAUCCGGCAUAUUAGCCGAUUAACGGACCAAGUUACCCUAGGGAUAACAGCGCAAUCCCCUUCAAGAGUCCUCAUCGACAAGGGGGUUUACGACCUCGAUGUUGGAUCAGGACAUCCUAAUGGUGCAGCCGCUAUUAAGGGUUCGUUUGUUCAACGAUUAACAGUCCU